UUAAGUUGGGCACUCUAAGUUGACUGCCGGUGACAAACCGGAGGAAGGUGGGGAUGACGUCAAAUCAUCAUGCCCCUUAUGAUUUGGGCUACACACGUGCUACAAUGGACAAUACAAAGGGCAGCGAAACCGUGAGGUCAAGCAAAUCCCAUAAAGUUGUUCUCAGUUCGGAUUGUAGUCUGCAACUCGACUACAUGAAGCUGGAAUCGCUAGUAAUCGUAGAUCAGCAUGCUACGGUGAAUACGUUCCCGGGUCUUGUACACAC
RNAcentral lists this ribosomal RNA (265 nucleotides) under Staphylococcus aureus. Its description in RNAcentral is "partial 16S ribosomal RNA". It matches the Rfam family "Bacterial small subunit ribosomal RNA", at positions 1126 to 1390 of the family's 1533-position model. The record is from RNAcentral. Lineage: Bacteria; Bacillati; Bacillota; Bacilli; Caryophanales; Staphylococcaceae.